AUGCCUGUUGCUAUUCGUAAGAAAAGCUGGGAGGAUCAUGUGACCCCACGGACAGGAUUACAGUACAGCUAUGAUGACCUAGACUUGGUCUGCUGCCAUAUGCGGUACCAGCGCAGUAGGUGUGCCUCGAUGCCUGAGUGUGGUCAUCACCAGCCUUGGACUUUGGGACUUUGGAUCAGAGAUGGUACAAGAACGAUGGAGAGUAUAGUGCAGAAGUUUAAGGGUGGAGCUCAACCUAACUGUGAAGGCUCAAAGUGCAAAUCAUUGACGCCUGGAGACACGGUCAAUGAAAAAGCACAGCACAAGAGUGACCAAGAUAGCAGGCUACCUUUAGACAACGUGGCAGAUCAAGAUGAAUUGGAAUGUUCUGCUUCAGGAAAUUUUCAGGCUCACAAUGGAGAUCCAGAUGAUAAGGAACUAAACAAGGAUAAAGUAUCUGCUUCCCAUAGCCUGACACAUUCUGUGCUUCCUACCCCAGUAUUAGCUCAAAUAGAAGAAACAAAUGAUUUAUUAAAUGUGCUGAAGGACAGUCACUCUGUCAAAGUUGACUGUUCUGAACCAACUUAUCCCAAAAGUGGAACUUGCACAGAAAAUAAAGAAUCAAUAGUGAAGGUCAGUGUGGGCAGUCAGAUGUUAGUACAUGAGCACAUGAGUGUCACAAGUGAGAUCACAGACAUAACUAAUAAACCUCCCACCUCUGAUUCACAGCAGAAAUCUGCUGACCCAAACAAUAUUGUGGAAGGACAAUGUUGUGAAACGUCUGAACAGACUAUUUUAACAUGUGGCAAAGUCGAAUGCUCACACACAGAUGAAACUGUGAUCCCAAACUUGUUAUCAUUGACAGCUUCUCAAGAAAUUCACAUUCCAGAAGCUAGCUCAGAUGCUAAUAAAGCAAGUCUAGUGUGCAAACAUCACGUAGUAUCUAAAGGUCAAGACAAUGAAAAUCAGGAAGGUAAUGGCAUUUUUAAAUGUUGCGAUCAUGAGAUGUUAAAAGUUGGAAGCCUUAAACCACCUGCUUGUGAAAUGUCUCAACUGGAGCCAUCUGGAAAAACUGACAUCAUGGAAACGUGUCAUGAUUGCUCAUCAAAACUCCAAACCAUCCAUGAGGGCUCCUUUCCUGAAUCUGGAGAUGAUGCUUCUGGUCAGAUAUCAGCAGAGAUGCCAGAACAUCCAAGUACAAACCUAAACACCAUCAACUGUGAGAAUUUGAGAACUUCAGAGGAUCAAAACACGAGGGUAAAGGAGGCAACAAGAGGAAAACCUCAACCUGAAGGACACUAUGAUGAACAUCAGUCAAACCAAUAUACAAAUACAGCCAAAGACCUUGAGAGUGUCACAAAAGCUGAAGGUUCCCUUGUAAAGCUUCGUACAAGGAAGGUAAGAUGUUUUUCAUAG
RNAcentral lists this long non-coding RNA (1395 nucleotides) under Sinocyclocheilus grahami. Its description in RNAcentral is "lncRNA (ENSSGRG00000005872.1)". The record is from RNAcentral. Lineage: Eukaryota; Metazoa; Chordata; Actinopteri; Cypriniformes; Cyprinidae.